UGAACGCUGGCGGCGUGCUUAACACAUGCAAGUCGAACGAAGCAUUUAAGACAGAUUUCUUCGGAAUGAAGGUUUUUUAUGACUGGAGUGGCGGACGGGUGAGUAACGCGUGGGUAACCUGCCUCACACAGGGGGAUAGCAGUUGGAAACGACUGGUAAUACCGCAUAAGCGCACAGCUUCGCAUGAAGCGGUGUGAAAAACUCCGGUGGUGUGAGAUGGACCCGCGUCUGAUUAGGUAGUUGGUGAGGUAACGGCCCACCAAGCCGACGAUCAGUAGCCGACCUGAGAGGGUGACCGGCCACAUUGGGACUGAGACACGGCCCAGACUCCUACGGGAGGCAGCAGUGGGGAAUAUUGCACAAUGGAGGGAAACUCUGAUGCAGCGACGCCGCGUGAGUGAAGAAGUAUUUCGGUAUGUAAAGCUCUAUCAGCAGGGAAGACAGUGACGGUACCUGACUAAGAAGCUCCGGCUAAAUACGUG
Molecule: ribosomal RNA, 482 nt
Filed under: uncultured bacterium
Lineage: Bacteria
Description: bacterial SSU rRNA
Rfam family: Bacterial small subunit ribosomal RNA
Source: RNAcentral